AACGAACGCUGGCGGCAGGCUUAACACAUGCAAGUCGAGCGAAGACUUCGGUCUUAGCGGCGGACGGGUGAGUAACGCGUGGGAACAUGCCCUUUGCUACGGAACAGUCCCGGGAAACUGGGUUUAAUACCGUAUACGCCCUUCGGGGGAAAGAUUUAUCGGCAAAGGAUUGGCCCGCGUUGGAUUAGGUAGUUGGUGGGGUAAAGGCCUACCAAGCCGACGAUCCAUAGCUGGUUUGAGAGGAUGAUCAGCCACACUGGGACUGAGACACGGCCCAGACUCCUACGGGAGGCAGCAGUGGGGAAUCUUAGACAAUGGGGGCAACCCUGAUCUAGCCAUGCCGCGUGAGUGAUGAAGGCCCUAGGGUUGUAAACCUCUUUCAGCGCAGACGAAGCGAAAGUGACGGUAUGCGCAGAAGAAGGACCGGCCAACUACGUGCCAGCAGCCGCUGUAACAC
RNAcentral lists this ribosomal RNA (457 nucleotides) under uncultured bacterium. Its description in RNAcentral is "bacterial SSU rRNA". It matches the Rfam family "Bacterial small subunit ribosomal RNA", at positions 29 to 526 of the family's 1533-position model. The record is from RNAcentral.